ACCUAGGGUAGAGGUGCUGUAAUUAUAAGUAUUUUGUUUUUAGCCGGCAGGCGUCUUAGAAACAAAGAAAGGAAUAUCAGCCGAAGAAGUCAUUUUGGCGAAGAUGGUUUCUGGUUUUAUAUAGAACAUGUAUAAAACUGUCACUAAAGUAUAGUGGAGAGCUACAAGGUAC
Molecule: non-coding RNA, 172 nt
Filed under: Clostridium sp.
Lineage: Bacteria; Bacillati; Bacillota; Clostridia; Eubacteriales; Clostridiaceae
Description: Lysine sequence
Rfam family: Lysine riboswitch aptamer
About the family: Riboswitches are metabolite binding domains within certain messenger RNAs that serve as precision sensors for their corresponding targets.
Source: RNAcentral